ACUGGCGGCGUGCCUAACACAUGCAAGUCGAACGGAGUUCUUAAGGAAUGCGGGCUUCGGCCAAAUGACUUUUGAACUUAGUGGCGGACGGGUGAGUAACGCGUGAGUAACCUGCCCUCUAGACUGGGAUAACUUCUGGAAACGGACUGUAAUACCGGAUGUCAUCUGACUACCGCAUGGUAAUCAGAAAAAAGCUUAGAUGCACUAGAGGAUGGACUCGCGGCGUAUUAGCUAGUUGGUGAGAUAGAAGCUCACCAAGGCGACGAUACGUAGCCGACCUGAGAGGGUGACCGGCCACACUGGGACUGAGACACGGCCCAGACUCCUACGGGAGGCAGCAGUAGGGAAUCAUCGGCAAUGGGGGAAACCCUGACCGUGCAAUGCCGCGUGAGUGAAGAAGGCCUUAUGGGUUGUAAAGCUCUGUUGUGAAGGAAGAACAUGUUAGAUAGAAUCUAGCACUGACGGUACUUCACCAGAAAGCCAUGGCUAACUACGUG
RNAcentral lists this ribosomal RNA (497 nucleotides) under uncultured bacterium. RNAcentral's name for it is "bacterial SSU rRNA". It matches the Rfam family "Bacterial small subunit ribosomal RNA", at positions 36 to 507 of the family's 1533-position model. The record is from RNAcentral.